UCUUGGUCAAUUUAGAGGAAGUAAAAGUCGUAACAAGGUCUCCGUUGGUGAACCAGCGGAGGGAUCAUUACUGAGUUUACGCUCUACAACCCUUUGUGAACAUACCUACAACUGUUGCUUCGGCGGGUAGGGUCCCCGUGACCCUCCCGGCCUCCCGCCCCCCCCGGGCGGGUCGGCGCCCGCCGGAGGAUAACCAAACUCUGAUUUAACGACGUUUCUUCUGAGUGGUACAAGCAAAUAAUCAAAACUUUUAACAACGGAUCUCUUGGUUCUGGCAUCGAUGAAGAACGCAGCGAAAUGCGAUAAGUAAUGUGAAUUGCAGAAUUCAGUGAAUCAUCGAAUCUUUGAACGCACAUUGCGCCCGCCAGCAUUCUGGCGGGCAUGCCUGUUCGAGCGUCAUUUCAACCCUCAAGCUCUGCUUGGUGUUGGGGCCCUACAGCUGAUGUAGGCCCUCAAAGGUAGUGGCGGACCCUCCCGGAGCCUCCUUUGCGUAGUAACUUUACGUCUCGCACUGGGAUCCGGAGGGACUCUUGCCGUAAAACCCCCCAAUUUUCCAAAGGUUGACCUCGGAUCAGGUAGGAAUACCCGCUGAACUUAAGCAUAUCAAUAAGGCGGA
Molecule: ribosomal RNA, 616 nt
Filed under: Colletotrichum theobromicola
Lineage: Eukaryota; Fungi; Ascomycota; Sordariomycetes; Glomerellales; Glomerellaceae
Description: eukaryotic LSU rRNA
Rfam family: 5.8S ribosomal RNA (bases 246-399)
Source: RNAcentral